AGCAGCCGCGGUAAUUCCAGCUCCAAUAGCGUAUAUUAAAGUUGUUGCAGUUAAAAAGCUCGUAGUUGAAUUUCGGGAUCAAUAUGUUGGUCGUGCCUCGGUACGUACUAGCUUAUUGGUUUCUCCUUUCUGAAGAACCAUGAUGUCAUUUAUUUGGUGUCGUGGGGAAUCAGGACUGUUACUUUGAAAAAUUAGAGUGUUUAAAGCAGGCUCACGCUUGAAUACAUUAGCAUGGAAUAAUGAAAUAGGACGUUUGAUUCUAUUUUGUUGGUUUCUAGGAUCGACGUAAUGAUUAAUAGGGAUAGUUGGGGGCAUUAGUAUUCAAUUGUCAGAGGUGAAAUUCUUGGAUUUAUUGAAGACUAGCUACUGCGAAAGCAUUUGCCAAGGAUGUUUUCAUUAAUCAAGAACGAAAGUUAGGGGAUCGAAGACGAUCAGAUACCGUCGUAGUCUUAACCAUAAACUAUGCCGACUAGGGA
RNAcentral lists this ribosomal RNA (476 nucleotides) under uncultured Glomus. RNAcentral describes it as "SSU rRNA". It matches the Rfam family "Eukaryotic small subunit ribosomal RNA", at positions 569 to 1052 of the family's 1831-position model. The record is from RNAcentral. Lineage: Eukaryota; Fungi; Glomeromycota; Glomeromycetes; Glomerales; Glomeraceae.